Molecule: long non-coding RNA, 3717 nt
Organism: Manis pentadactyla (Chinese pangolin)
Lineage: Eukaryota; Metazoa; Chordata; Mammalia; Pholidota; Manidae
Exons: 2
Source: RefSeq, a predicted model, not a curated record
GGCGUGGACACCGCCCUGCCACUCUCCGGGACGCCCAAUAGAAAAUGGGCAGCAGGCAAGGUGGGUGGCCCGGCCUCCCGCCGCAGCCGCCCAGUGUAGGGCGGGUCCAGCCAUGGCCCUUUAGUGAGGUCCCUGCGAGCCCGGCUCGGCCGAAGUGAGAGGGCGCACCGCACGUCAGUCAGAUGACCCGGCCAAUGGGCAUGCGCGCUGCCCUGAUGCCCGCCUCCACCUCGGCUUCCCGGCGCCAGCGCUGUCUUCCCUCAGGCCACCUCGGCCCGCCCGCCAGUGCCUCCAUCCGGGUCUCCGCGCGCGGAUCUCGUGCUGCAGCGGCUGCCUGGCGCGGGGCGCGAGGGCUGGAGUGUCUCCGCGGCGGCCGGCGACUACCGGCGCCUUUCUCCGUGAGCCUGAGGGGAACCAGGAUCACCAAGGAGAGAGCCUUCCUGUGGUACUCAGCUGUGGUCCCUUUUCAACAUUCACCCUGGACAUUCUCUUCACUGUGGGAUGAGGUAGUAGGUUGUAUAGUUUUAGGGUCACACCCACCACUGGGAGAUAACUAUACAAUCUACUGUCUUUCCUAAGGUGAUAGAAAAAUCUGCAUCUCAGCGGCCUCAUAGAAAGUAACUUACUGUGCAAUAUUUAAGGUUAACUUGCAUAAAAAUUCUGUAGGUGCAGAAUUUCUUCUGGUUUGCACGUUGCUUUUCUUAGAACCCAAAAAUACUGGCAAGUAGACUGGAUGGGGCAAAGAUACUUUCUGCUUCUCAUUUCUGAAUCUCAGAGUAAGUGUGUAUUUUAUUUUGAUUGAUGCUGCUAAUUUUAUGUUGCAUUUUUCUUUUGAGAAAGAUUGUGUUAUCCUUCCAGAAGAAGUUUGCUCUGUCAGAGUGAGGUAGUAGAUUGUAUAGUUGUGGGGUAGUGGUUUUACCCUGUUCUGGAGAUAACUAUACAGUCUAUUGCCUUCCCUGAUGGGUGGACUUGCUGCCUUUUUUUUUCUCUGGAUGAUAGUAAAACUCCGAAGAAUUAAUUUUGACCUUGUUCUGUAUUUAAUUUAUGUCAGUUGCUAAUUUUCUGUGUUCAAGUACAGUGGACACAGCAAUCCAGGUAACAUUCUUACUUUUCACAUACAGUAUGUUUCAGAAAUUUGGAAUUAAAAAUCUCAGAGCAGAGAACUUAAGUGUCUCAGGAAAUCUUAAUAGGGGACCAUGCCCUUUUGGAAUUUUAAAUAGGUUAAUCACCAUAUAUCCUUCACAUGUCCAGGGUGAGGCCCUGGGUAGUAAAGGUAAAUAGACACUGGAAAGAUACUGAGCUAAAAUGGAGUCAGGUUGAUUAUGAGUCAUUCCCUGGUUUGGGUUUUUGGGUCACCUUGGGCAGUGUUGUACCACUGCUUCAUUGGUGUGUUGAUGGGCCCAGCCCAGGUGAUAGAUCUGGGCCAAAUUUAUGCUUUUUAUUUUAUUCCUGGUAUAUAGAUGGACACCCGCAUGGUCCAGAUUUGGUCUUUGUUAAAAUUGGACAUACAAAUAUUGGGGGGAAUCUUACAUUCUUUGGCUUAAUCUUAAACUGACAAGUUGCACAGCUCACCUGCUCAUUGUGUGACAAGUGUAGUCAUGGAGCUCUGGUUUUCUGACAUGGGCUGCCUUCAAGUGUGGGUAUCAUCACCACUUCACAGUGGGAAACUUAUCCUUAUCUAAUUACUAAGGUGGUGGAGAAAAAUAAAUGCAUAGCUUUUAUUAAGGACAGAAGGAACCUUUUGUACCCUUGCCAGCCAUGGUCAGUAAGUGAAUCAUAUAGUAGAGAACAGCUACAUUUUAUAAAAACUCUUAAAGUACCUUUAUGGAGAAUGACAGUCUCCAAAGCUUGUUUUUGAUGGUGACAAAAAUUAUGAUCAGCUUUUGUUUCUGUUGGCCGUAAUUCAGGGGGAAAAAACAAAUGCCUGGGAAGGGCCUGUGGUACCUAGGAAACACAUGGCACCUAAAGGAGACAGGCAGGAAAUUAAUUUGUCCCAGUUGAUACUGGCAAGCAGGAUUUAUACAUAGUGUCACCUAGUUUUCCAGUGUUAUCAAGGGAGGCUGGAGAUUUUAUGGGUUUUGAGCUUUAAAUUUUGGUAACACACUAAAAAUUUAGAAGUCUGUGGCUCGAAUAUGUGAUGGGCUGGUGGUAGGCCUCUAGGUUUGCAUCUUCUGGUGCAAUUGAACUUGUUCCUUUGUAACAAGGUUUGCUUUUAAGCAAAUAUAUUUGUGUUUUUUACCAAGGUUGGAUGGCCAGUCGCUUUUUAAAAGCACCUAUGAAAGAAUUCUAAUUUGAAUUUGAAAUAAAACUUGAAGACUAUGGCCUGUUUUAACAGGUUAAUUUGAAGUGCAUCUGCCAAGUAGAAGAACAGCCAAGAAAAGAAAUGGGUUCCUAGGAAGAGGUAGUAGGUUGCAUAGUUUUAGGGCAGGGAUUUUGCCCACAAGGAGGUAACUAUACGACCUGCUGCCUUUCUUAGGGCCUUACUAUUCCACGGUCACCUGUUUCCUUGCUCCCGUGCUUUGGUGUAAGCAGAGUUCCUUCUGCAGGUUUUCUCAUAACUGAAAACGUUGCAGGAAUGCCAAAGGAAGCAGUGCUUGCAUUAGUGAUUUAUAGACAACAGAUGGUAACAACAGCAAUUAUUAAAAGUCACCUAAGGAGAAUGGAGGACUGGUGUAUGCCUAGUUGCCUAUGUUCACUUGAGGUUGUUGGAAAAUUUUGGAAAGCGUAGGUUUUUUGUUUUUGGUUCAAGUUCCAGUUCCUGAUUUACAGAUUGCCAGCUGUUUCUCCCUUUGUAGCCUCUAUUAAACCUCAGAGAAGGCAUUUAACAAAGCUAUUGAAAUAUUUGCUGUUCCCUAUACUGUAUUUGUAAAUAUUUAUCUUGCUAAGUUUCUGGGUUUCUGUCUUCUGGACUUAAAAUUUGGGUCACUUCUUAGGGCGGUUCUGCAUAUUGUGUGAUCCAUCAUCGCCUUGUGUGCAAUCCUGGGAUUGAAUCUGUUAAAUGUGUACAAGGGCUGCAUAGUGAAGUCAAUAUAAUUUGUUAAAUGCCUUUUCGGUAAAAACACUUGAACUUUAAAACUUGGGCUUUUAAAAUUCUUCCACCUCCAUCCCUGCAGAACUACAUAUAUAUAUAUAUUUUAAUGUAUGAGUGUUUAGACUUGCUUUAAGAUCUGUGAAAAUGCUUAAUGUUAUUUCUAAUUCGGAGUAACCUGCUGAUUAUAUUAUUCACAAAUGUAUAUUAAUUACUAAAACUAACAUAAGCCAUAUCUUGCUCUUCUGUUUUUGUAAAUGCUUGUGUGUCUUUGUACAGUCCUACUUUUUGGAAUGAUUCUUAUUCUUUGAAUCGCUUAAGCAGACACUACCUUGCAAAAACUGGCUGCAAUUCCCCAGUCUGGUUCAUUUACUGAGCCUGCGAUGUGUGUACCUUAGCAUCCCAUGGGUAGAUUUAUUUCAGAAUAUUUUGAGCAGUAAUAUAUUUAAAGGGCUCCAGAGUGGAAGGGUUGAAAAGGAAUUCAGUGAAAUUUCCCACCUAUCCUCUACUGCUUAGAGACUCUUCCACUGGGAGGAAGGUUGGGAAGUGAGCUCUAGGCAUGUUCUACACCUCUGAUCAAUUGGGGCUUUAAAUUUCCUCUCUAAGUGGAGGUGGUUGGGUGUGGCUUCCAAGAUACUUUUUAUAUUUUGCAGUCCUUUAAAAUUAAAGAUUUCAGUUGAGUGACAAAA